AAUUCCAACAUCUAAUAUAUAAAUUGCUUAUUAGAGAAUUUAAUUCAGCGAUAUCUUAAGGUAUAUACAAGAACGCGAGACGAAAACGUGGAGAACGUAGUUCGAAAACGAUCGGCCGACAAUCCACGAUUACUAAAUUUCGCACUUCCCUAAUCGAUCGAACCGAUCACUUUUGCGUUCCGGUUCAAUCUGUGCGCGCGAAUGCGAAUCGUCGUUCUACGCUCAUCUAUCUUGAGGGGGGUGAUAAUAGUCUUUUCAUGAUAUGUGUAACAUAUAUUUAUACACAAUACCACGCACUAUUUUUGCGUGAUAAAUAUCUAGUAGGUACGAUUGUGUUAUUUGUACGAAUAAUCUCAUUCGAGGCACAGGAUGUCCUUCCGCAUCAUUCAUGAAUAAAUAGACUUCUUUCUAAUACACUGCAAUUAUAAUUAAAAAUUACUUUACCAUGCA
Molecule: long non-coding RNA, 450 nt
Organism: Acromyrmex echinatior (Panamanian leafcutter ant)
Lineage: Eukaryota; Metazoa; Arthropoda; Insecta; Hymenoptera; Formicidae
Source: RefSeq, a predicted model, not a curated record